UUUCCUAGGUGUAAAAUUACAUAUUUGCGUGUCAAGCAAAAGAAUAAUAGGAAAA
RNAcentral lists this transfer RNA (55 nucleotides) under Tubulipora flabellaris. RNAcentral's name for it is "tRNA-Asp". The record is from RNAcentral. Lineage: Eukaryota; Metazoa; Bryozoa; Stenolaemata; Tubuliporida; Tubuliporidae.